This 253-nucleotide ribosomal RNA is filed under the name uncultured bacterium. RNAcentral describes it as "partial 16S ribosomal RNA". It matches the Rfam family "Bacterial small subunit ribosomal RNA", at positions 524 to 776 of the family's 1533-position model. The record is from RNAcentral.
UACGAAGGGGACUAGCGUUGUUCGGAAUCACUGGGCGUAAAGCGCACGUAGGCGGAUGUGUCAGUCAGGGGUGAAAUCCCGGGGCUCAACCUCGGAACUGCCUUUGAUACAGCACGUCUCGAGUCCGGAAGAGGUGGGUGGAAUUCCUAGUGUAGAGGUGAAAUUCGUAGAUAUUAGGAAGAACACCGGUGGCGAAGGCGGCCCCCUGGUCCGGUACUGACGCUGAGGUGCGAAAGCGUGGGGAGCAAACAGG